UCAGCACGUACAUCGCAUGAGCAGGCAGCUAGCUCUACUUCUGAAGUUUUGCGUGGUGGUAUCGUUGCACAGCUGGAACGCUAGAACCAGCAGUGAGAUUUGAGAAUCUGUCUAUUCCAUUGCAACAGUUGCAGUCAACAACCUUGAACUAGUUUGUCGAAGCAUCACGGAGCAGCCUAAGAGCCAAGCAAACCAGUUGGAUCUGUACCACAAGCUUCAUCCCUGUGUCAGAUUUUUCAAAGGAUUCUAAAAUUUCUUCGGGACACUCUGUUCUGCUGAGUCAGCAACGCAGCGAGCUGCUAUUCGCUUCCAUGCAAUCGACAUUGCACAACUGAUCUAUAAUGGACGACGUACCAGUCAAGGGGGUGCAGUAUGGCCGUGAUCCAGCUGAUGAUCAGGAGGAGUUUAGACCUGCAUCCGAAGUGUUUGGAAGCAAUGAGUUGGAUUACCUGGACAAGCUGGAAGCUCAGGGUGGAAGUGCUGCUGAUAUCGCUCUUGGUCGACAAUCUCUUUAUGUGAAGUUUGAUCCACUGGUGGAUUCUGCUAGUCAACCUG
This is a long non-coding RNA of Sycon ciliatum, 555 nucleotides long. RefSeq lists it as uncharacterized. The transcript is spliced from 4 exons. NCBI's taxonomy places the organism in Eukaryota, Metazoa, Porifera, Calcarea, Leucosolenida, Sycettidae. The record is from RefSeq and is a predicted model, not a curated record.